Molecule: unclassified non-coding RNA, 146 nt
Filed under: soil metagenome
Description: partial internal transcribed spacer 1
Source: RNAcentral
UAAUAAGUGUUUUAUGGCACUUUUUAAAUCCAUAGUCCACCUUGUGUGCAAUGUCAGUCGAUCUUCUUCAUGGAGAUCGACCAAACAUCAACCUUUAUCUUUUAACUCUUUGUCUGAAAAAUAUUAUGAAUAAACAAUUCAAAAUA